Triticum dicoccoides is the source of this 188-nucleotide long non-coding RNA. RefSeq lists it as uncharacterized. The transcript has 2 exons. The record is from RefSeq and is a predicted model, not a curated record. Lineage: Eukaryota; Viridiplantae; Streptophyta; Magnoliopsida; Poales; Poaceae.
GAGUAUGCGGGGAAGUUUAGAAAAGAUGCAGCAAUGGUGUGGUCAGAGAUAAUAAAAAUUGAUGGCUUCGGAUGAUGCUUUGAAAAUUUCGAUUGACAAAGUCGCAGAUGUAACUAUGAGCGAUUGGACUCAAAAGUCAUCCAAUUUUACACAAUGAGAUGCAUACAAAUAAUUAUUCUUUCCUUGUA